AAGAUCUCCACAUCAUAACCAGGU
Molecule: non-coding RNA, 24 nt
Filed under: Arabidopsis thaliana (thale cress)
Lineage: Eukaryota; Viridiplantae; Streptophyta; Magnoliopsida; Brassicales; Brassicaceae
Source: RNAcentral